CUGGCGGCGUGCUUAACACAUGCAAGUCGAACGGAGUGGUUCUCCCGAAGACCUGAAGAGCUUGCUCAGAUGGAAUUCAUUUGAAUCACUUAGUGGCGGACGGGUGAGUAACGCGUGGGUAACCUGCCUCACACUGGGGGAUAGCAGUUGGAAACGACUGAUAAUACCGCAUAAGCGCACAGUAUCGCAUGAUAAAGUGUGAAAAACUCCGGUGGUGUGAGAUGGACCCGCGUCUGAUUAGCUAGUUGGUGAGGUAACGGCCCACCAAGGCAACGAUCAGUAGCCGGCCUGAGAGGGUGUACGGCCACAUUGGGACUGAGACACGGCCCAAACUCCUACGGGAGGCAGCAGUGGGGAAUAUUGGACAAUGGGGGAAACCCUGAUCCAAGCGACGCCGCGUGAACGAAGAAGUAUCUCGGUAUGUAAAGUUCUAUCAGCAGGGAAGAUAAUGACGGUACCUGACUAAGAAGCACCGGCUAAAUACGUGCCAGCAGCCGC
RNAcentral lists this ribosomal RNA (498 nucleotides) under uncultured bacterium. RNAcentral's name for it is "bacterial SSU rRNA". It matches the Rfam family "Bacterial small subunit ribosomal RNA", at positions 36 to 518 of the family's 1533-position model. The record is from RNAcentral.